GAUGAACGCUAGCGGCAGGCUUAAUACAUGCAAGUCGUGGGGCAGCAUGAGUGUAGCAAUACAUUUGAUGGCGACCGGCAAACGGGUGCGGAACACGUACACAACCUUCCUUCAAGUGGGGAAUAGCCCAGGGAAACUUGGAUUAAUACCCCGUAAUAUUAUGGAGUGGCAUCACUUUAUAAUUAUAGCUCCGGCGCUUGAUGAUGGGUGUGCGCCUGANAGGUAGUUGGCGGGGUAACGGCCCACCAAGCCUUCGAUCAGUAACUGGUGUGAGAGCACGACCAGUCACACGGGCACUGAGACACGGGCCCGACUCCUACGGGAGGCAGC
RNAcentral lists this ribosomal RNA (330 nucleotides) under uncultured bacterium. RNAcentral's name for it is "bacterial SSU rRNA". It matches the Rfam family "Bacterial small subunit ribosomal RNA", at positions 28 to 352 of the family's 1533-position model. The record is from RNAcentral.